Arabidopsis thaliana x Arabidopsis arenosa is the source of this 103-nucleotide non-coding RNA. The record is from the annotation of a GenBank genome assembly. Lineage: Eukaryota; Viridiplantae; Streptophyta; Magnoliopsida; Brassicales; Brassicaceae.
AAGUUGUGGUGAGGACAGUCUCUCUCAUAGUCUUUAAAUCGCUCCCAAGCGUCAUAGAAUGAUUCUUUGGCUCCUUGUUGAAAUCCCAAAGUAGUCCGAAAUU